Pogoniulus pusillus (Red-fronted tinkerbird) is the source of this 1150-nucleotide long non-coding RNA. RefSeq lists it as uncharacterized. The record is from RefSeq and is a predicted model, not a curated record. The transcript is spliced from 5 exons. Lineage: Eukaryota; Metazoa; Chordata; Aves; Piciformes; Lybiidae.
GCAUGACUGCUGUUGCUGGAGGCAUUAAGUAUUUGGGUUUGCCUUAAGCAGAUAGAGAAGAAAAGGUUAUGCUAUAAAUACAAAAGGUAACUCUCCCAGUGGAAUCUUUUCAAGCUGCUUUUGGAUGACUUGAAAGUUGCUGUUAUUUCUGGUGACUUAAAUGAUAUCAGCUCACAAAUAUCAAAGGCAAAACAACAAAGGGAAGAAAAAAGGCAAACAGCUUUCAAAAAGGGCACAUUCAACCUUUGACUCAGUCUUGAACUUCAGUAAGGAGGAAGGAUAGAAAGAACAUUUGAGUUUACCUUUAUCACCUGUCUUAUUCAAACAGAUUGAAGGUCAAGCUAACAAAUAUGCUCAGAAUAGAACUGUUGAUGAAGUAAUCAGAAGUCUGAAGAACAGAGUGAUAAAGCAGGCAGCAACUACUAAAGACAGCUUUCUUUUUUUUGUCUACAAGAAGCAAUCACAAGGAGAAAAUCAAUAAAUCUGGUUUGCAGAAGCCUGAUACCUCCCUUCCUCAAAGAACUACAGUAGGCUAAAGCAAAAGGAAAAUACCUUGUCUCAGCCAUGUUUUCUUCAGCUGAGACUAUCUGCUUCUCCUUGUGCCAGGGAAACUGUAGCAGCUGAGGCUACUACUGCAAAUUGGGUGGACACCAGUGAUACCACAUUGGGCUUUGACAUGUUUGAGCUGUAAAGAAUAUAGCUGUAAGGUUUGUUGUUUUCUUUAUGUUACAUCACUGUGCUAUGUAUCAGAUAUGUUUGCUAUAACCUUUUCAAUAUUUGCUGUACUUUGAUUUCAUUAUUGCAGAUGCUAGAUGGAAUGGGCCAGGAGCUCUCUUAUGUAGCAGCCCAAACACAGUAAAUGACACUAAAUAUCACUACAUCACUUCAUGAUAAACUGGUGGAAUCCUUUGGGGUAAAUGCAUUGAUUUGCUUUUGUCAGUGAAGCUGAUUGUUCUUUUGAUACAAAUAUUUGCUUUAAAAGUUGGUUUGGAUGAGCUGUCAGGAAGGUGACUCUAAAAAUGAUGCUGGAUUUUGUCUUCUUUGUUUUCAGAGGCUUCCCACUCAAACACAUUCAGUUUCCAAGGAAAAACUUUUUUUUUUUUUUUCCCUUCUAAUUGUCUUCUCUGCAGCCUUUGCCAGGAAAACAAGA